This 429-nucleotide ribosomal RNA is filed under the name Chloroflexota bacterium. Its description in RNAcentral is "Chloroflexi bacterium partial 16S ribosomal RNA". It matches the Rfam family "Bacterial small subunit ribosomal RNA", at positions 355 to 776 of the family's 1533-position model. The record is from RNAcentral. Lineage: Bacteria; Bacillati; Chloroflexota.
UGGGGAAUAUUGCACAAUGGGCGCAAGCCUGAUGCAGCCAUGCCGCGUGUAUGAAGAAGGCCUUCGGGUUGUAAAGUACUUUCAGUCGGGAGGAAGGUGUCAAGGUUAAUAACCUUGGCAAUUGACGUUACCGACAGAAGAAGCACCGGCUAACUCCGUGCCAGCAGCCGCGGUAAUACGGAGGGUGCAAGCGUUAAUCGGAAUUACUGGGCGUAAAGCGCACGCAGGCGGUUUGUUAAGUCAGAUGUGAAAUCCCCGGGCUCAACCUGGGAACUGCAUCUGAUACUGGCAAGCUUGAGUCUCGUAGAGGGGGGUAGAAUUCCAGGUGUAGCGGUGAAAUGCGUAGAGAUCUGGAGGAAUACCGGUGGCGAAGGCGGCCCCCUGGACAAAGACUGACGCUCAGGUGCGAAAGCGUGGGGAGCAAACAGG